This is a non-coding RNA of Microcebus murinus (gray mouse lemur), 852 nucleotides long. The record is from RefSeq and is a predicted model, not a curated record. Lineage: Eukaryota; Metazoa; Chordata; Mammalia; Primates; Cheirogaleidae.
GAUUUGGCCCACGCAGCCGCAGGGGAGACGCGGGGAGAGGCCCGGCCCACGGGGGGCUCCGGACGGCGCCUGUUCAGGCCGGUUUAAGGAGGUGUCUAUGGAGGGACGUGAAAAUCCUCAGGGCCACACGGCGCGGAGGACGUCCUGGUCUGCCUGGACGGCAGCAGGGAGACCUUGCGGGGUGUCGCUCUUCUCUGGGAGCUGUGGGGCGGUUAAGGAGGCGCACUUCAAGGUCAGGGCUCCCCGACAUCGCGCGCCCCUUCUCCUGUAGGGACAGCGCCCGUCCCGCCUCCAGGCGCUCUUGGUGCCACUGGCGUCACAACCCCACUGGAGGCGGGGGAAGGAAGAGCCCCGGCCGGUUCCCUCUGUCACCCACCUACCCACCCGCACGCACGCAAGAUCAGACACACGCGACUUCGCUUCCCGGGUGGUCCUGACACCCACCCUAAAGCAGGGGAAAAGUCCCAGUGAAGACAAAAAAACAUGGUGGCCCCAAUCCACAGCACAGAGGGCCUCUGAGGGUCCUUCUGGAAUGUCCAGCACUGCUCCACUACCACGCUCUCCGGGUCUUCUCUGGACUGAGGACGUUUCUCCCAAGCCUGGGCUCCCCUGACACACUGCCUGGGCAAGCCCUAGGGAGCCACCUGGAUUAAUCCACUAAGAGAUCCCUCCCGCACGCGACUCACCACAAGCAUAAGGUCAACCCAGCCUUGAAUGGGCCCUUACUAUUGUUGACCACAAUUACACCCACACUUAGCAAACGCUGGUGUUAAAAAUCACACGUAGAGGGAUAUACCUUGGAGAUAUUGCGGGUUUGGUUCCAGACCACCACAAUAAAGCGAGUCACAUGAA